This 253-nucleotide ribosomal RNA is filed under the name uncultured bacterium. RNAcentral describes it as "partial 16S ribosomal RNA". It matches the Rfam family "Bacterial small subunit ribosomal RNA", at positions 524 to 776 of the family's 1533-position model. The record is from RNAcentral.
UACAGAGGUCCCGAGCGUUGUUCGGAUUCACUGGGCGUAAAGGGUGCGUAGGUGGCAUGGUAAGUUUGAUGUGAAAGCUCAGGGCUUAACCCUGAAAUGGCAUUGAAUACUACUGUGCUGGAGGUUUGGAGGGGGGACUGGAAUUCUUGGUGUAGCAGUGAAAUGCGUAGAUAUCAAGAGGAACACCAGUGGCGAAGGCGAGUCCCUGGACAACACCUGACACUGAGGCACGAAAGCUAGGGGAGCAAGCAGG